Molecule: long non-coding RNA, 767 nt
Filed under: Ananas comosus (pineapple)
Lineage: Eukaryota; Viridiplantae; Streptophyta; Magnoliopsida; Poales; Bromeliaceae
Description: long non-coding RNA (ACOM_LNC039829)
Source: RNAcentral
GUGAGUUAAAAGCGUGAGUUUUGAAUUUUUUCCUCUUUCCCAAAAUACCGGUCCCUAUUAAUAUAAUUCCAAUAACAUACUAAUAAUAUCAUUCAUUCAACUUUAAUGGAAUAAAUCACAGUCCUACAAUUAUUAUUUUAUUUUUUAAUUAUCAUAAAAUAUAUUAAUUUUUAGUCAUUAGAUCUAAUCCAACAACUGACGAAUUAAGUAUCUGUCACUUUUUUUACCUAAAUUGCCAUCAAAUAGUACGUAUGAAGUUUCACUUUUUAUAUGCAUGACAUAUCUUUUAAUAACCGCCGCCCAUAUAAUAUCAUAUUUUAUAUAACAAAUAAUAUUUGCAUUUCUAAAUAUUUAUUUCUCACACAUAAUAUCCGCCACCUAUAUAAUAUCCAAUCACAUAAUACCUUCCGCAUAAAUAAUAUUUAAUCAUAUUUUUUAAAAGGUGAAUAUAUAAAAAUUAUCUCAAUUUUACCUAUUAAUAUUUGAAAUAUGAGAUAUUUUUUCAAUAAAAUAUAACAUAUAAAUUUACAAUUUAAAAAUUUAAAUUUGUAGAUAAAUAUGAUUCACAAAUUGAUAUUGAUUUGAGAUAAUUAUUAAAAUAAUUGUUGACACAGACAAACCUUUUUUUAAUCGGAAAAAGUAUUGCAUUUCAUUUGCGAGAAUAGAAAGAAAUUUAUACUUAUCCAAAUUUUUGUCAACCGAAGGAUAUUUGCUGUAGAAUAUUUUUCACAAGCGCCCCAUAAAAUAAUAUUCCAUACUUAUCAAAA